This 73-nucleotide transfer RNA is filed under the name Operophtera brumata (winter moth). It matches the Rfam family "tRNA". From Rfam's summary of the family: Transfer RNA (tRNA) molecules are approximately 80 nucleotides in length. Lineage: Eukaryota; Metazoa; Arthropoda; Insecta; Lepidoptera; Geometridae. The record is from Rfam by way of RNAcentral.
GCCCCUGUGGCCUAAUGGAUAAGGCAUCGGCCUCCUAAGCCGGGGAUAGUAGGUUCGAGUCCCACCAGGGGUA